CCUACGGGAGGCAGCAGUGGGGAAUAUUGGACAAUGGGCGAAAGCCUGAUCCAGCAAUGCCGCGUGAGUGAUGAAGGCCUUAGGGUUGUAAAGCUCUUUUACCAGGGAUGAUAAUGACAGUACCUGGAGAAUAAGCUCCGGCUAACUCCGUGCCAGCAGCCGCGGUAAUACGGAGGGAGCUAGCGUUGUUCGGAAUUACUGGGCGUAAAGCGUACGUAGGCGGUUAUUCAAGUCAGAGGUGAAAGCCCGGGGCUCAACCCCGGAACGGCCUUUGAAACUAGAUAGCUAGAAUCUUGGAGAGGUUAGUGGAAUUCCGAGUGUAGAGGUGAAAUUCGUAGAUAUUCGGAAGAACACCAGUGGCGAAGGCGACUAACUGGACAAGUAUUGACGCUGAGGUACGAAAGCGUGGGGAGCAAACAGGAUUAGAUACCCUGGUAGUCCACGCCGUAAACGAUGAUAACUAGCUGUUCGGGCACUUGGUGCUUGAGUGGCGCAGCUACGACAUUAAGUUAUCCGUCCGUCGGGUAGGUACGGUCGCGAAGAAUUAAAACGUUAAAAGGUAAAGUUAGUACGGCGUGAGACGUGCCGAACGACGACGACGAGGGAGGUAGG
Molecule: ribosomal RNA, 612 nt
Filed under: uncultured bacterium
Lineage: Bacteria
Description: bacterial SSU rRNA
Rfam family: Bacterial small subunit ribosomal RNA (bases 1-518)
Source: RNAcentral